CAGGGCUGGCACUGGAUAGUUUUUAAGGUCCUUUCCAACCCAAACCAUUCUGUGAUUGAUACCUGGUAAUUAAUCUAUUCUGAGUGGUCACAAUUUUGCAAAAGGGACAAAAGCUAACAAGAGACAUUUUGCCUGGAAUGUCUCUAGCACUGCAAUGGAAAGAUAAGAAAAUUAUUUUUGGGUCUAUUAUUUUUUCUAUGAUGAUAACUCUUCAAAAAUACAUUGACAAAAAAAAUUUCAGUGAAAUACUCUGAGUUUUUAGAAACUAAAGCACGCCAAGCAGCUUGCUUUUUUUGUUGUUGUUGUUGUUUUUUGUUUGUUUUUUGUUUGUUUUUUGUUGUUUUUUUUCUUUUUUUUUUCCUUCCCCUGUAUUUUGGCUGCUGGAUCCUGUUCUUUUCUCUCCACCAGAGAGCGCCAGGAUCCCCAGAGGUGCUCAUGCUGGGACUUCCCAGGGAUGUGAGCUUCUCCCGGGCAGCACAAACACCCGUGUGCCCCUCAGACAAAUGCGGGAGGACACUCAGACCAGCUGGGAACGUGGGACAUCAGAAAGGAGAAAGGACUUGGGUUGCAGUGUGCUCUCUUCUGUAUCUUACAUUCUCCUGCUGUUGUCAUCGUACUUUCUCUGACCUCUUCUUCUGGCUCGUUGCCCUUUGUUCCUUCAGCCACCUGCCUGCAGAGCCUGCAAACCCCGGCAUGGUCCCUUCCUUCCAGCAGCACCAUCCCUGGAUGUCAGUAAUCCCAGCAGGUUUUUAACACCAGUGGACUUCACUGGAGAGAUGCACGUGGCUGGCUGAGAGCCUGAGCCCUCGACUAUCAGCUCAAGCUGAUGACUACAGCCAGGGCUCCAUGACACUGAAGAGCUGAAUCCAUCCCAGAUCCUGGAUUGACAAGGCAUUAAUAAAUUGUUAAGGGUUUAUCAAAACUGCAGAGGCAAUUUAAAGCAAAUUCUUUGUCAGCAGAAACUAAUUCUCAAUGUAUUCUUUCAACAUAUGCAAAAUGAAAGGGAAAUAAAAGUCGUGUGUUGCUUCAUUGCA
Molecule: long non-coding RNA, 1034 nt
Organism: Parus major (Great Tit)
Lineage: Eukaryota; Metazoa; Chordata; Aves; Passeriformes; Paridae
Exons: 2
Source: RefSeq, a predicted model, not a curated record